UCAGGAUGAACGCUAGCGGUAGGCUUACACAUGCAAGUCGAGGGGUAACAUUGGUGCUUGCACCAGAUGACGACCGGCGCACGGGUGAGUAACGCGUAUGCAACCUGCCUGUAACUGGAGGAUAGCCCUUGGAAACGAGGAUUAAUACUGCGUAACAUUAUUGAAUCGCAUGGUUUAAUAAUCAAAUCUACGGAGGUUACAGAUGGGCAUGCGUGCCAUUAGUUAGAUGGUGAGGUAACGGCUCACCAUGACAUCGAUGGCUAGGGGUUCUGCAAGGAAGAUCCCCCACACUGGUACUGAGACACGGACCAGACUCCUACGGGAGGCAGCAGUGAGGAAUAUUGGGCAAUGGACGCAAGUCUGACCCAGCCAUGCCGCGUGCAGGAUGACUGCCCUAUGGGUUGUAAACUGCUUUUGUUUGGGAAGAACUCCCCGAUCGUGAUCGGGGCUGACGGUACCUUACGAAUAAGCAUCGGCUAACUCCGUGCCAGCAGCCGCGGUAAUACGGAGGAUGCAAGCGUUAUCCGGAUUCAUUGGGUUUAAAGGGUGCGCAGGCGGAAUAUUAAGUCAGUGGUGAAAUCCUGCAGCUUAACUGUAGAACUGCCAUUGAUACUGGUAUUCUUGAAUGUAGUUGAGGUGGGCGGAAUGUGUAAUGUAGCGGUGAAAUGCUUAGAUAUUACACAGAACACCAAUUGCGAAGGCAGCUCACUAAACUAUGAUUGACGCUGAGGCACGAAAGCGUGGGUAGCAAACAGGAUUAGAUACCCUGGUAGUCCACGCCGUAAACUAUGAUCACUCGCUGUUGGCAAUACAUCGUCAGCGGCUGAGCGAAAGCAUUAAGUGAUCCACCUGGGGAGUACGGUCGCAAGAUUGAAACUCAAAGGAAUUGACGGGGGCCCGCACAAGCGGAGGAACAUGUGGUUUAAUUCGAUGAUACGCGAGGAACCUUACCUGGGCUUAAAUGCAGAGCGACGUUCCGGGAAACCGGAAUUCCUUCGGGCGAUCUGCAAGGUGCUGCAUGGCUGUCGUCAGCUCGUGCCGUGAGGUGUCGGGUUAAGUCCCAUAACGAGCGCAACCCUUAUCGUUAGUUGCCAGCGGGUAAUGCCGGGGACUCUAACGAAACUGCCGGUGUAAACCGUGAGGAAGGUGGGGAUGACGUCAAGUCAGCACGGCCCUUAUGUCCAGGGCUACACACGUGUUACAAUGGUCGGUACAGAGGGCAGCUACCUGGCAACAGGAUGCUAAUCUCGAAAACCGGUCUCAGUUCGGAUUGGAGUCUGCAACUCGACUUCAUGAAGCUGGAUUCGCUAGUAAUCGCGCAUCAGCCAUGGCGCGGUGAAUACGUUCCCGGGCCUUGUACACACCGCCCGUCAAGCCAUGGAAGCUUGGAGUACCUGAAGUCCGUAACCGCAAGGAGCGACCUAGGGUAAGACA
This 1434-nucleotide ribosomal RNA is filed under the name uncultured organism. Its description in RNAcentral is "bacterial SSU rRNA". It matches the Rfam family "Bacterial small subunit ribosomal RNA". The record is from RNAcentral.